RNAcentral lists this ribosomal RNA (304 nucleotides) under Cupriavidus sp. T10. RNAcentral describes it as "partial 16S ribosomal RNA". It matches the Rfam family "Bacterial small subunit ribosomal RNA", at positions 56 to 353 of the family's 1533-position model. Lineage: Bacteria; Pseudomonadati; Pseudomonadota; Betaproteobacteria; Burkholderiales; Burkholderiaceae. The record is from RNAcentral.
UAGAUCCUGNGNUUCGGAACGGCNCCNCUGGCUUUCGGNCUGGGGNCGAGUGGCGAACGGGUGAGUAAUACAUCGGAACGUGCCCUGUCGUGGGGGAUAACUAGUCGAAAGAUUAGCUAAUACCGCAUACGACCUGAGGGUGAAAGCGGGGGACCGCAAGNCCUCGCGCGAUAGGAGCGGCCGAUGUCUGAUUAGCUAGUUGGUGGGGUAAAGGCCUACCAAGGCGACGAUCAGUAGCUGGUCUGAGAGGACGAUCAGCCACACUGGGACUGAGACACGGCCCAGACUCCUACGGGAGGCAGCA